This 606-nucleotide ribosomal RNA is filed under the name uncultured Bordetella sp. RNAcentral's name for it is "bacterial SSU rRNA". It matches the Rfam family "Bacterial small subunit ribosomal RNA", at positions 114 to 716 of the family's 1533-position model. Lineage: Bacteria; Pseudomonadati; Pseudomonadota; Betaproteobacteria; Burkholderiales; Alcaligenaceae. The record is from RNAcentral.
AGUAUUGGAACGUGCCCAGUAGCGGGGGAUAACUACGCGAAAGCGUAGCUAAUACCGCAUACGCCCUGAGGGGGAAAGCGGGGGACCGAAAGGCCUCGCACUAUUGGAGCGGCCAAUAUCGGAUUAGCUAGUUGGUGGGGUAAAGGCCUACCAAGGCGACGAUCCGUAGCUGGUUUGAGAGGACGACCAGCCACACUGGGACUGAGACACGGCCCAGACUCCUACGGGAGGCAGCAGUGGGGAAUUUUGGACAAUGGGGGCAACCCUGAUCCAGCCAUCCCGCGUGUGCGAUGAAGGCCUUCGGGUUGUAAAGCACUUUUGGCAGGAAAGAAAUGGCGCUGGAUAAUACCUGGCGCAGAUGACGGUACCUGCAGAAUAAGCACCGGCUAACUACGUGCCAGCAGCCGCGGUAAUACGUANGGUGCAAGCGUUAAUCGGAAUUACUGGGCGUAAAGCGUGCGCAGGCGGUUCGGAAAGAAAGGUGUGAAAUCCCCGAGCUUAACUUGGGAACGGCACUUUUAACUACCGAGCUAGAGUGUGUCAGAGGGAGGUGGAAUUCCGCGUGUAGCAGUGAAAUGCGUAGAGAUGCGGAGGAACACCGAUGGC